AGAGGCUGCAUAAUAUUGACUUGGAUCUUGGACCACUAAGAUUUAUAUGGAUUAUAAAUUCGUGUUUUACGUUGGGGGCGUAAGAUAUGUUAAAAUUAGUGGGAGCUAAUCAAUACGAUAGCCCAUUGUUUGAUUAGUGAUACAAUGUGAUCAUAGUUUUUUCUUUCUAAUUUGCUUUUCUUUAUUUAUUGAUCAGAUAAUAUGUCAAAUUUGUCACUGAAAUGUUUGAUAGAA
RNAcentral lists this long non-coding RNA (234 nucleotides) under Salvia miltiorrhiza (redroot sage). Its description in RNAcentral is "long non-coding RNA (SMIL_LNC001945)". The record is from RNAcentral. Lineage: Eukaryota; Viridiplantae; Streptophyta; Magnoliopsida; Lamiales; Lamiaceae.